UGGCGGCAGGCCUAACACAUGCAAGUCGAGCGGUAACAGAAAGUAGCUUGCUACUUUGCUGACGAGCGGCGGACGGGUGAGUAAUGCCUAGGGAUCUGCCCAGUCGAGGGGGAUAACAGUUGGAAACGACUGCUAAUACCGCAUACGCCCUACGGGGGAAAGGAGGGGACCUUCGGGCCUUUCGCGAUUGGAUGAACCUAGGUGGGAUUAGCUAGUUGGUAAGGUAAUGGCUUACCAAGGCGCCGAUCCCUAGCUGUUCUGAGAGGAUGAUCAGCCACACUGGGACUGAGACACGGCCCAGACUCCUACGGGAGGCAGCAGGGGAAUAUUGCACAAUGGGGGAAACCCUGAUGCAGCCAUGCCGCGUGUGUGAAGAAGGCCUUCGGGUUGUUUAGCACUUUCAGUAGGGAGGAAAGGUAGCAGCUUAAUACGUUGUUACUGUGACGUUACCUACAGAAGAAGGACCGGCUAACUUCGUGCCAGCAGCCGCGGUAAUAC
Molecule: ribosomal RNA, 498 nt
Filed under: uncultured marine bacterium
Lineage: Bacteria
Description: bacterial SSU rRNA
Rfam family: Bacterial small subunit ribosomal RNA
Source: RNAcentral